Homo sapiens (human) is the source of this 825-nucleotide long non-coding RNA. Ensembl annotates it as TACR3 antisense RNA 1. Its record names the gene TACR3-AS1. NCBI's taxonomy places the organism in Eukaryota, Metazoa, Chordata, Mammalia, Primates, Hominidae. The record is from Ensembl.
UAUAGAGGUGGCAUAAAUCUGGAGGUUCUGCAAAGUCUUCCCAGAGGUGAAGUAUUCAGGCUGAUCUGGAACUCUGGCUGGAUAAUGGAGAAGAGCAAUCUGGGCACUGUUACCACUGGGCAGAAUGACAUGGCGGCCAUGCCCUCUUCAUGAUCUCUUGUUGUGAUCUAUCACUGGGACAGAAGGAAGGUAAAAUUCUGAGAUUUUGGAGGAAGAAGUUGGCCCAUAGAAGAAUCAUCCAGUUAGAACCCCAAGAUCAUUAUUUGGGGCAUCUAAUUAUUAAUGUGGGAUGCUUUAUAAAGUGUGUAUGGGGGUCUUGAAAGAUAAAGCCUGUGCCUCUCUCAGUGAAUUCUUAAAUUUUCCCUUCCUUCUGCAUUUUGAAUUUGAACCAAGAAAAUGGAACAACAUUGUAUGUUUCCAGUGAAGAUAAAAACAUCUGUUGAAUAUCUUGAGUCUAGAAAAUAACAUUGAAAAUAUAGUGGUUGAGGACCAAUUCCUCAUCCUGAAGUUUACAAUGUAAUGAAAAAAAGGAAAUGUAUAAUUUUAAUAAAAAUGCAUGCAUUGAAAUGUGAUGGUGCAGCAAGAGGCUUUAGAAAUUCCUGUUGCAGAGAUUUAUAUAAGACUGCCACAUCUUACUGGAGAAUGAUGAAAUAAUGAAGCAGAAAUAAUCUGAAGAUAAUACCUGAGAAUCAAAAGGGAUAAAGUAAUCACAGUGCAUUAUUCCACUAGUUCUAAAUGUUUUCAAAUAAAAAAAGAUUAAAGACAGGCUUGAGAGGCAUACAAAUGAUUUCGACAAAGCCAUAAAUUUGAAAAUAUGCUGAGUAA